AUGGAGAAUUUGGAGGGGGCGUGUCUGCUUCUGGGAGACUAGCUAGAGGCGUUUUCAGGGGUUCUGGGAGCUUAUAUGCAAGAGUUCCAGGGACCCUGGAAUGAUUGAUUAAUAAGACACGCUGAUGAAACCAGAUUUGAUGAACCGG
Molecule: long non-coding RNA, 148 nt
Organism: Mauremys mutica (yellowpond turtle)
Lineage: Eukaryota; Metazoa; Chordata; Testudines; Geoemydidae
Exons: 4
Source: RefSeq, a predicted model, not a curated record